This 325-nucleotide ribosomal RNA is filed under the name uncultured eukaryote. RNAcentral describes it as "partial 18S ribosomal RNA". It matches the Rfam family "Eukaryotic small subunit ribosomal RNA", at positions 1470 to 1796 of the family's 1831-position model. The record is from RNAcentral.
CCCUUAGAUGUCCGGGGCCGCACGCGCGCUACACUGAAGGAAUCAGCGUGGCUUUCUCCCUGACCCGAAAGGGUUGGGAAACCCGUUGAAUCUCCUUCGUGAUAGGGAUUGGGGCUUGAAAUUGUUCCCCAUGAACGAGGAAUUCCCAGUAAGCGCGAGUCAUAAGCUCGCGUUGAUUACGUCCCUGCCCUUUGUACACACCGCCCGUCGCUCCUACCGAUUGGAUGAUCCGGUGAGCUAUUCGGACUUUCGCAUUGUCGAUUUUCGGCUUUACGAGGGAAAGUCUCGCGAACCUUAUCAUCUAGAGGAAGGAGAAGUCGUAACA